Molecule: long non-coding RNA, 473 nt
Filed under: Equus asinus (donkey)
Lineage: Eukaryota; Metazoa; Chordata; Mammalia; Perissodactyla; Equidae
Description: lncRNA (ENSEASG00005026902.1)
Source: RNAcentral
GGCCUCAGCCCCAGCUCUGGCAGAGCUCCCAGCACUGCUCUGACUUGCCGGUCAUAGAAGUGAGCUAUCUUGAAAGGAGUCUUUCAGGACACAGCCAGACUUCUUAUGCUGAAGCCACAUGAAGCAGAGAUGAGCCUUCCUCCUUCUGGAGUCUGUAAUGUUCUUCUGAUCAUUUUCACUGAUGGAUGAUCCUUCACAACAAGAUUUGGGAGAUUUAUGCAGUUAUGAUGAGAACCAGUAUAAACUUUCAAGGUGCUUCUUUUCUAAGGAACUCUAAAACUACUUGCCAUUUUGAUGAAGACUCAGUCCUGUGGGUGCAAGUCCAUGAAUCUCUCUGGUAGAGUUUGUGUUGAGAGCACAUGCCUGGAUGGACAGAACUCCCUCUUCAAAGAAAAGACUUUGAAAGCAAGAAUGAAGUUGGACAACUCUUCAAAUGGUUUCAGAAUUAGCCCUGGAAUAAGAUGAUAGAGAUC